Molecule: transfer RNA, 93 nt
Filed under: Actinoplanes couchii
Lineage: Bacteria; Bacillati; Actinomycetota; Actinomycetes; Micromonosporales; Micromonosporaceae
Description: tRNA-Sec
Source: RNAcentral
CGGGGGCUGGAAGAGGCGGGCGUCUCGAUCUUCAACACCGGGAUCGGGUGGCACGAGGCGCGGGUGCCGACGAUCGUCACGUCGGUGCCGGCC